UACAGAGGUCUCAAGCGUUGUUCGGAUUCAUUGGGCGUAAAGGGUGUGUAGGUGGCGCGCUAAGUCGGGUGUGAAAUUUCGGAGCUUAACUCCGAAACUGCAUUCGAUACUGGCGUGCUUGAGGACUGGAGAGGAGACUGGAAUUCAUGGUGUAGCAGUGAAAUGCGUAGAGAUCAUGAGGAAGACCAGUGGCGAAGGCGAGUCUCUGGACAGUUCCUGACACUGAGACACGAAGGCCAGGGGAGCAAACGGG
This 253-nucleotide ribosomal RNA is filed under the name uncultured bacterium. RNAcentral describes it as "partial 16S ribosomal RNA". It matches the Rfam family "Bacterial small subunit ribosomal RNA", at positions 524 to 776 of the family's 1533-position model. The record is from RNAcentral.